UUUCUCCUCAGAUAGGCGCUCGUAGGAUUCUUUUUUAUGGUAGAGACACAGCUUCUUCUUUAGACAACAAAACCCUCGUUGAAGGAACAUGAUUGGUGGAGAGAGAGAGAGAGAGAGAAAGAGUAGAGAACACUAGAAGCAAUUUGCCAAUAACUUG
Molecule: long non-coding RNA, 157 nt
Organism: Telopea speciosissima
Lineage: Eukaryota; Viridiplantae; Streptophyta; Magnoliopsida; Proteales; Proteaceae
Exons: 2
Source: RefSeq, a predicted model, not a curated record